RNAcentral lists this ribosomal RNA (253 nucleotides) under uncultured bacterium. RNAcentral describes it as "partial 16S ribosomal RNA". It matches the Rfam family "Bacterial small subunit ribosomal RNA", at positions 524 to 776 of the family's 1533-position model. The record is from RNAcentral.
UACGUAGGGACCAAGCGUUGUUCGGAUUUACUGGGCGUAAAGGGCGCGUAGGCGGCGCGGUAAGUCACUUGUGAAAUCUCUGAGCUUAACUCAGAACGGCCAAGUGAUACUGCAGUGCUAGAGUGUGGAAGGGGCAAUCGGAAUUCUUGGUGUAGCGGUGAAAUGCGUAGAUAUCAAGAGGAACACCUGAGGUGAAGACGGGUUGCUGGGCCAACACUGACGCUGAUGCGCGAAAGCUAGGGGAGCAAACAGG